AUUGAACGCUGGCGGCAGGCCUAACACAUGCAAGUCGAACGGUAACAGGAAGAAGCUUCUUCUUUGCUGACGAGUGGCGGACGGGUGAGUAAUGUCUGGGAAACUGCCUGAUGGAGGGGGAUAACUACUGGAAACGGUAGCUAAUACCGCAUAACGUCGCAAGACCAAAGAGGGGGACCUUCGGGCCUCUUGCCAUCGGAUGUGCCCAGAUGGGAUUAGCUAGUAGGUGGGGUAACGGCUCACCUAGGCGACGAUCCCUAGCUGGUCUGAGAGGAUGACCAGCCACACUGGAACUGAGACACGGUCCAGACUCCUACGGGAGGCAGCAGUGGGGAAUAUUGCACAAUGGGCGCAAGCCUGAUGCAGCCAUGCCGCGUGUAUGAAGAAGGCCUUCGGGUUGUAAAGUACUUUCAGCGGGGAGGAAGGGAGUAAAGUUAAUACCUUUGCUCAUUGACGUUACCCGCAGAAGAAGCACCGGCUAACUCCGUG
Molecule: ribosomal RNA, 489 nt
Filed under: uncultured bacterium
Lineage: Bacteria
Description: partial 16S ribosomal RNA
Rfam family: Bacterial small subunit ribosomal RNA
Source: RNAcentral